Molecule: long non-coding RNA, 935 nt
Organism: Mangifera indica (mango)
Lineage: Eukaryota; Viridiplantae; Streptophyta; Magnoliopsida; Sapindales; Anacardiaceae
Exons: 7
Source: RefSeq, a predicted model, not a curated record
UAAUUAGGUCAUUAACGUAUUUCUAGCAAUUUGAUUGAUCUGCCCUCCCGCAGUCCAGCUUCAGCGAAGAAAGGUUUCGCAUAUUAUUGAAAUUUUAAGUUGAAAUUUUAUCCAUGGAAGCGAAGCGAAAGCGACGCCGACUGUGAAAUGCUUUUUAAAAGUGCGUUUAGUGAAUUACUUAUUGGUAAUACUCACAGCUGUUGGUAUAAAGGGACUCGGAGCAGUUGCAGUUGCAGUGCCGAGAUCCAAUUGCUACGCUUUCGAUAAUUCCAGUCGCAUUGUUGAUUUUAGUAGCUGGAUCGGACAUUAUUUCGAGUAUGAAGACAAUGGUGUUGAUUUGGUGGUUCGAUUUUGCAAAGAUGUAGAGACUAGAUCACAAGCGGUAGUCUUGAACACCAUAUUCUCAAAAUUUUGCAGGGAUACAUAGCUUUUGGCCGAUUUAAUAAGUUCAACCAUUUUGUUGCUGGUUCAGGCCAUGUUGACUUUGUUCAAGGGUUUUACGGUGGUGACCUUUUGAAUUGUGAGUCAAGUUAUGACAAGAUGGGAUGUACGGCUCAGGUAAAUAUUAUUUGCGGGAGUUGUUUAAAUGGACAAUGUGAAGGUUGGUAGAUCUUCAUUUUGAGUUUCAAAUGUGCAUGGAGUUGAUAUGACAAUUGGCAGGGCUAGAAAUUUUCGUUUACAGGGGUCAUGGUAUGAAAAAUGAAAUAACUGCGGGGGCAUGUGAACCAAAAGGGGUAUAAAAAGUAUUAUUUAAAAGGUUAAAAUGUAUAAUGAAAUCUACUUCUCUGUGUUCUUCUUUUUCCUGAUAUUUUGGGGGCUGGUGGCUCGCACUCUCUGGCCUGUAUAUGACCAGAUGCCACCGUUCUGUGACAGUUUGACAUCUUGUGAAUUUCACAUUGAUAUCACUGAGCUCUAUCUUCCAUUUUUUGGAGCAA